UUUUUCAAUAUUUUUCUUUUUUUUCUUUUUUCUUCUUCUUUUAUUUUUAUAUUAUUAUAAAAAAAAAAGAAAAAAAAAAAAUGGAAAAAAAGGAAAUGAAAAAAGCGCCAGUGAAAUACCACUACUCCUGAUCUUGUCUUACUUACUCCGUUAGGCCGAAAUAAGAAACGGAGUGAAAAAAACUCUAUGUUUCUUUUUCUU
This 201-nucleotide non-coding RNA is filed under the name Hemiselmis virescens. Lineage: Eukaryota; Cryptophyceae; Cryptomonadales; Hemiselmidaceae. The record is from RNAcentral.